This 500-nucleotide ribosomal RNA is filed under the name uncultured bacterium. RNAcentral describes it as "partial 16S ribosomal RNA". It matches the Rfam family "Bacterial small subunit ribosomal RNA", at positions 30 to 523 of the family's 1533-position model. The record is from RNAcentral.
AUUGAACGCUGGCGGAAUGCUUUACACAUGCAAGUCGAACGGCAGCACGGACUUCGGUCUGGUGGCAAGUGGCGAACGGGUGAGUAAUGUAUCGGAACGUGCCCAGUCGUGGGGGAUAACGUAGUGAAAAUUACGCUAAUACCGCAUACGAUCUAUGGAUGAAAGCGGGGGAUCGCAAGACCUCGCGCGAUUGGAGCCGCCGAUAUCAGAUUAGGUAGUUGGUGGGGUAAAGGCCCACCAAGCCAACGAUCUGUAGCUGGUCUGAGAGGACGACCAGCCACACUGGAACUGAGACACGGUCCAGACUCCUACGGGAGGCAGCAGUGGGGAAUUUUGGACAAUGGGCGAAAGCCUGAUCCAGCCAUUCCGCGUGCAGGAUGAAGGCCCUCGGGUUGUAAACUGCUUUUGUACAGAACGAAAAGGUUUCUACUAAUACUAGGAGCUCAUGACGGUACUGUAAGAAUAAGCACCGGCUAACUACGUGCCAGCAGCCGCCGUAA